UACAGAGGUCCCAAGCGUUGUUCGGAUUCAUUGGGCGUAAAGGGUGCGUAGGUGGCGCCGUAAGUCAGGUGUGAAAUUUCGGAGCUUAACUCCGAAACUGCAUUUGAUACUGCGGUGCUUGAGGACUGGAGAGGAGACUGGAAUUUACGGUGUAGCAGUGAAAUGCGUAGAUAUCUGGAGGAACACCGGUGGCGAAGGCGGCGUCCUGGACCAAUUCUGGCACUGAGGAGCGAAAGCCAGGGGAGCAAACGGG
This 253-nucleotide ribosomal RNA is filed under the name uncultured bacterium. RNAcentral's name for it is "partial 16S ribosomal RNA". It matches the Rfam family "Bacterial small subunit ribosomal RNA", at positions 524 to 776 of the family's 1533-position model. The record is from RNAcentral.